Molecule: ribosomal RNA, 497 nt
Filed under: uncultured bacterium
Lineage: Bacteria
Description: partial 16S ribosomal RNA
Rfam family: Bacterial small subunit ribosomal RNA
Source: RNAcentral
GAUGAACGCUGGCGGCGUGCCUAAUACAUGCAAGUCGAGCGAACGGACGAGAAGCUUGCUUCUCUGAUGUUAGCGGCGGACGGGUGAGUAACACGUGGAUAACCUACCUAUAAGACUGGGAUAACUUCGGGAAACCGGAGCUAAUACCGGAUAAUAUUUUGAACCGCAUGGUUCAAUAGUGAAAGACGGUCUUGCUGUCACUUAUAGAUGGAUCCGCGCUGCAUUAGCUAGUUGGUAAGGUAACGGCUUACCAAGGCAACGAUGCAUAGCCGACCUGAGAGGGUGGUCGGCCACACUGGAGCUGAGACACGGUCCAGAGUCCUACGGGAGGCAGCAGUAGGGAAUCUUCCGCAAUGGGCGAAAGCCUGACGGAGCAACGCCGCGUGAGUGAUGAAGGUCUUCGGAUCGUAAAACUCUGUUAUUAGGGAAGAACAUAUGUGUAAGUAACUGUGCACAUCUUGACGGUACCUAAUCAGAAAGCCACGGCUAACUACGUG